CAGAGUUCGAGAAGCCCUCCUCUACAUCUUCAUAAACUUGUUUGAGGGCUCUUAACUUCUCUCCUAUUUAUAUUGCUGAAUAUCUGCUUGUUUAGAAGCUGUAUUUUUCUAUUUAUUUUUCUAUCCAUUUGGUCCUUACUUGAUUCAAUCAGGGGAUUGAAUCAAGGGUGUAAAGGUUUGUUGGUGAGCCUAGGUUGAAACCAACGUGUAAGGGUU
RNAcentral lists this long non-coding RNA (216 nucleotides) under Phoenix dactylifera (date palm). RNAcentral's name for it is "long non-coding RNA (PDAC_LNC018322)". Lineage: Eukaryota; Viridiplantae; Streptophyta; Magnoliopsida; Arecales; Arecaceae. The record is from RNAcentral.